GACAGAUAGUCUAGCUAGCUGUCUGGAUUUACCCUGCAGAGAUCUGAGGAGCAGUUAACCAUAGUCCUCAGAAAUCCACCGGAGUUUAGAAUUCCAACACAAACAAAGUGGAAGGUGACAAACAUCCGGCC
This is a long non-coding RNA of Sander lucioperca (pikeperch), 131 nucleotides long. RefSeq lists it as uncharacterized. Lineage: Eukaryota; Metazoa; Chordata; Actinopteri; Perciformes; Percidae. The transcript has 2 exons. The record is from RefSeq and is a predicted model, not a curated record.